UCAUAAAUAAUCUGGAGAUUUUGUUGAAAUGCAGACUCUGACUCAGCAGGUCCAGUUUUAGGCCUGAGAGUCUGCAUUUCUAACAAGCUUCCAAGUGAUGCAGAC
RNAcentral lists this microRNA precursor (105 nucleotides) under Marmota monax (woodchuck). It matches the Rfam family "mir-544 microRNA precursor family". The record is from RNAcentral. Lineage: Eukaryota; Metazoa; Chordata; Mammalia; Rodentia; Sciuridae.